GCAAACUUGGUCAUUUAGAGGAAGUAAAAGUCGUAACAAGGUUUCCGUAGGUGAGUACCACUCCCGGCCACAUGCCGGGUCUCCCUUCCGCUCCGAGGUGGAAACGUGCUAACAAGACCAUAGGUGAACCUGCGGAAGGAUCAUUACCGAGUACCAGCACCCCUAGGUGCCUACUCCCACCACUUGUGAACCUUUAACCGUUGCUUUGGCGGGCCGCGGCCACGCGCCGCCCCUAGCGCUGCCUGGGAGCGCCCGCCAGAGGCGUCAUAAAACCGUCUCACGGUGACAUCUGAGUGCCUUCUUAAAAGUCAAAACUUUCAACAACGGAUCUCUUGGUUCUGGCAUCGAUGAAGAACGCAGC
RNAcentral lists this unclassified non-coding RNA (361 nucleotides) under uncultured fungus. RNAcentral describes it as "partial contains small subunit ribosomal RNA, internal transcribed spacer 1, and 5.8S ribosomal RNA". The stretch from base 1 to 146 matches the Rfam family "Eukaryotic small subunit ribosomal RNA", at positions 1759 to 1831 of the family's 1831-position model. The record is from RNAcentral. Lineage: Eukaryota; Fungi.